AGUCGUAACAAGGUUUCCGUAGGUGAACCUGCGGAAGGAUCAUUGUCGAAACCUGCCUAGCAGAAUGACCCGCGAACUUGUAAUUGCACUCGAGGGGGUCUAGCGUGGGAAGCUCCGGCUUGUCGCGUUGUCCCCCUCCUGCUGCGGGGGGCGAGCGAGAUCUCGCUUGCUCCUUGUGGCUAAACAACGAACCCCCGGCGCGAGCUGCGCCAAGGAAAAUUUAACGAGAGAGAGCGCUCCCGUCGCUCCGGACACGGAUCGGCGUGCGGGAUGCGUCUCCUUCUUUCAACUAAAAUCUAAAACGACUCUCGGCAACGGAUAUCUCGGCUCUCGCAUCGAUGAAAAAUGCGAUACUUGGUGUGAAUUGCAGAAUCCCGUGAACCAUCGAGUCUUUGAACGCAAGUUGCGCCCCAAGCCUUUAGGCCGAGGGCACGUCUGCCUGGGUGUCACGCAUUGUUGCCCCCCCAACCCCCUCUUGGGGCAUAGUUGGAUGGGCGGAAAUUGGCCUCCCGUGCGCUCUUGCUCGCGGUUGGCCCAAAUUUGAGUCUUUCGGUGAUCGAGCCGCGACGAUCGGUGGUGGAACAUGCCCCUCGAGAUCUUGUCGCGUGCUCGUGUCUCUGUGCCAUAGGCUCGUGGACCCUUGUAAGCACCUUCUCUUUGAGACUGUGCUCGCUUUGCGACCCCAGGUCAGGCGGGACUACCCGCUGAGUUUAAGCA
This 717-nucleotide small RNA is filed under the name Trichilia trimera. RNAcentral describes it as "eukaryotic LSU rRNA". The stretch from base 304 to 449 matches the Rfam family "5.8S ribosomal RNA". Lineage: Eukaryota; Viridiplantae; Streptophyta; Magnoliopsida; Sapindales; Meliaceae. The record is from RNAcentral.